GACGAACGCUGGCGGCGUGCUUAACACAUGCAAGUCGAACGGAAAGGCCUGCUUUCCCUUGUGGAUUGCGGGUACUCGAGUGGCGAACGGGUGAGUAACACGUGAGUGAUCUGCCCUCAACUUGGGUAUAAGCCUGGGAAACUGGGUCUAAUUCCCGAUAGGACUGCAGGGUGGUGCCGGGGGUGGCAAACGUGUUUCUAGUGGUUGGGGAUGGGCUCGCGGCCUAUCAGCUUGGUGGUGGGGUAAUGGCCUACCAAGGCGGUGACGGGUAGCCGGCGUGGGAGGGUGGACGGGCACCUUGGGACUGGGCCACGGCCCAGAGGCAUGCGGGAGGAAGGAAUGGGGAGUAUUGCGCGAUGGGCUGAAGCAUGAUGCCGCGGCGCGGCGUGGGGGAUGACGGAUUGCGGGUUGUAAUCUCCUUGCGAGAACGAGGAAGCAACCUGGUAGGAAGGGUGGUAAGGGUAGUGGUAGAAGAAGCACCGCCAAACUACGU
RNAcentral lists this ribosomal RNA (493 nucleotides) under uncultured bacterium. RNAcentral's name for it is "partial 16S ribosomal RNA". It matches the Rfam family "Bacterial small subunit ribosomal RNA", at positions 28 to 506 of the family's 1533-position model. The record is from RNAcentral.